RNAcentral lists this long non-coding RNA (238 nucleotides) under Hordeum vulgare. RNAcentral describes it as "long non-coding RNA (HVUL_LNC011575)". Lineage: Eukaryota; Viridiplantae; Streptophyta; Magnoliopsida; Poales; Poaceae. The record is from RNAcentral.
CCCUAGAUACUUGGUAGAUGAGAAGGCUGGCAAAGUCGACAAAGUAUAUUGGAUAUACCUGAUAUUGAUGUAUACCUUACUAGUAUUCCUUGUAGCACCAGGGUAUUAGAUACCGGUUCAGUUGCUAAGUGUUAGUAACUCGAAAUUAUAGCUACGGAUUAAAUGGAUACUAGCAAGGGUGAGGUGACGAUGUGUGUUGGAAGUAAUUCUAAGGUUGAUGUGAUCAAACAUCGCACGC